GGUGUAGGUGGCUUGGUAAGUCGGAUGUGAAAGCCCAGGGCCCAACCCUGGAAUUGCAUUCGAAACUAUCAGGCUAGAGUCCCGGAGGGGAUGGCGGAAUUCCCGGUGUAGAGGUGAAAUUCGUAGAUAUCGGGAGGAACACCAGUGGCGAAGGCGGCCAUCUGGACGGUGACUGACACUCAGACCCGAAAGUGUGGGUAGCGAACAGGAUUAGAUACCCUGGUAGUCC
RNAcentral lists this ribosomal RNA (229 nucleotides) under uncultured bacterium. RNAcentral describes it as "partial 16S ribosomal RNA". It matches the Rfam family "Bacterial small subunit ribosomal RNA", at positions 568 to 796 of the family's 1533-position model. The record is from RNAcentral.